Molecule: transfer RNA, 65 nt
Filed under: Perinereis vancaurica
Lineage: Eukaryota; Metazoa; Annelida; Polychaeta; Phyllodocida; Nereididae
Description: tRNA-Met
Source: RNAcentral
GAUAAAAUAAGCUAAGUUCAAGCUAUUGGGCUCAUACCCCGAAAAUGGAUUCCCCCCUUUUAUCA